Molecule: ribosomal RNA, 446 nt
Filed under: uncultured Pelotomaculum sp.
Lineage: Bacteria; Bacillati; Bacillota; Clostridia; Eubacteriales; Desulfotomaculaceae
Description: bacterial SSU rRNA
Rfam family: Bacterial small subunit ribosomal RNA
Source: RNAcentral
AUGUGGUUUAAUUCGAUGCAACGCGAAGAACCUUACCAGGGCUUGACAUCCCCUGACCGCGUAUGAAAUACCGUUUUCACCCUCGGGUGACAGGGAGACAGGUGGUGCAUGGUUGUCGUCAGCUCGUGUCGUGAGAUGUUGGGUUAAGUCCCGCAACGAGCGCAACCCCUACGUUUAGUUGCUAACGCGUGAAGGCGAGCACUCUAGACGAACUGCCGUUGACAAAACGGAGGAAGGUGGGGAUGACGUCAAAUCAUCAUGCCCCUUAUGUUCUGGGCUACACACGUGCUACAAUGGCCGGUACAGACGGACGCAAAGCCGCGAGGUGGAGCAAAUCCUAAAAAGCCGGUCUCAGUUCGGAUUGCAGGCUGCAAUUCGCCUGCAUGAAGUCGGAAUCGCUAGUAAUCGCAGGUCAGCAUGCUGCGGUGAAUACGUUCCCGGGCCUU